GAUGAACGCUGGCGGCGUGCCUAAUACAUGCCAGUCGAGCGAACAGACGCGGCUCUUGCUCCUCUCACGUUAGCGGCGGACGGGUGAGUAACACGUGUAUAACCUACCUAUAAUACUGGGAUCAUUUCGGGAAACCGGAGCUUAUACCGUAUAAUCUCUUGCACCGCGUUGUUCAUUAGUGAAUGACGGUUUUUCUGUCUCUUCUAGCUGGAUCUGCGCCUCAUUAUCUAGUUGUUAAUGUAACGGCUUACCACGGGAACGAUGCGUAACCGAGCUGAGAGGGUGAUCGGGCACUAUGGAACUGAGACACGGCACAGAGUACGAGGGGAGGCAGCAGUAGGGAAGCUGCGGAAAUGGGCGAAAGCAUGACGGAGCAACGGAGGGUGGGUGAUGAAGGGCUUCGGAUCGGAAAACUGUGUUAUGAGGGAAGAACAAAUGUGUAAGUAACGAUGCACGUGUGGAGGGAACGUAAUCAGAAAGACACGGCUAAUUACGG
This 496-nucleotide ribosomal RNA is filed under the name uncultured bacterium. Its description in RNAcentral is "partial 16S ribosomal RNA". It matches the Rfam family "Bacterial small subunit ribosomal RNA", at positions 28 to 506 of the family's 1533-position model. The record is from RNAcentral.